UACGGAGGGUGCGAGCGUUGUUCGGAAUUAUUGGGCGUAAAGGGCGUGCAGGCGGUCUGCUAAGUCCGAUGUGAAAGCCCCGGGCCUACCCCGGGAAGUGCAUUGGAAACUGGCAGACUUGAAUACGGCAGGGGGCAGUGGAAUUCCUGGUGUAGAGGUGAAAUUCGCAGAUAUCAGGAAGAACACCGGUGGCGAAGGCGGCUGCCUGGGCCGAUAUUGACGCUGAGACGCGAAAGCGUGGGGAGCAAACAGG
This 253-nucleotide ribosomal RNA is filed under the name uncultured bacterium. RNAcentral's name for it is "partial 16S ribosomal RNA". It matches the Rfam family "Bacterial small subunit ribosomal RNA", at positions 524 to 776 of the family's 1533-position model. The record is from RNAcentral.